GACGAACCACCCAAACGUUAUUCGGAAUUACUGGGCUUAAAGGGUGCGUAGGCGGCGUGGAAAGUUGGGUGUGAAAUCCCUCGGCUCAACCGAGGAACUGCGCUCAAAACUACCAUGCUCGAGGAAGACAGAGGUAAGCGGAACUUCGGGUGGAGCGGUGAAAUGCGUUGAUAUCCGAAGGAACACCGGUGGCGAAAGCGGCUUACUGGGUCUUUUCUGACGCUGAUGCACGAAAGCCAGGGGAGCAAACGGG
RNAcentral lists this ribosomal RNA (253 nucleotides) under uncultured bacterium. RNAcentral describes it as "partial 16S ribosomal RNA". It matches the Rfam family "Bacterial small subunit ribosomal RNA", at positions 524 to 776 of the family's 1533-position model. The record is from RNAcentral.